AAGUUAGACCUCUACCUCAUACCAUACAGAAUUAACUCAGGAAUUGACCAUCCAAAAAUCUUCCCACUAGGUUUUCUAUUUGAUGCUUUGCUAGCAUUUGGCCUAUUAGGAACAUCC
This 117-nucleotide small nucleolar RNA is filed under the name Choloepus hoffmanni (Hoffmann's two-fingered sloth). Its description in RNAcentral is "Small nucleolar RNA SNORA32 (ENSCHOG00000015889.1)". The record is from RNAcentral. Lineage: Eukaryota; Metazoa; Chordata; Mammalia; Pilosa; Megalonychidae.